GACUCCUACGGGAGGCAGCAGUGGGGGAAUAUUGCACAAUGGGCGCAAGCCUGAUGCAGCAACGCCGUGUGAGUGAAGAAGGUUUUCGGAUCGUAAAACUCUGUCCUAAGGGAAGAAACAAAUGACGGUACCUUAGGAGGAAGCCCCCGGCUAACUACGUGCCAGCAGCCGCGGUAAUACGUAGGGGGCAAGCGUUAUCCGGAAUCACUGGGCGUAAAGGGUGCGUAGGCGGCUUAGCAAGCCAGGGGUGAAAGGCAUUGGCUCAACCAAUGUAAGCCUUUGGAACUGUUAAGCUUGAGUGCAGGAGAGGUAAGUGGAAUUCCUAGUGUAGAGGUGAAAAUUCGUAGAUAUUAGGAGGAACACCAGUGGCGAAGGCGACUUACUGGACUGUAACUGACGCUGAUGCACGAAAGCGUGGGUAGCGAACAGGAUUAGAUACCCUGGUAG
RNAcentral lists this ribosomal RNA (447 nucleotides) under uncultured bacterium. RNAcentral's name for it is "bacterial SSU rRNA". It matches the Rfam family "Bacterial small subunit ribosomal RNA", at positions 334 to 793 of the family's 1533-position model. The record is from RNAcentral.